GGACUGUUGGUCUAGUGGUAUGAUUCUCGCUUAGGGCUUACCCUGAGUUGCAUGCGAGAGGUCCCGUGUUCGAUCCACGGACAGUCCC
RNAcentral lists this transfer RNA (88 nucleotides) under Sporothrix schenckii ATCC 58251. RNAcentral's name for it is "tRNA-Pro". The record is from RNAcentral. Lineage: Eukaryota; Fungi; Ascomycota; Sordariomycetes; Ophiostomatales; Ophiostomataceae. RNAcentral also lists the same sequence under 1 other name.